RNAcentral lists this long non-coding RNA (282 nucleotides) under Chloebia gouldiae (Gouldian finch). RNAcentral's name for it is "Erythrura gouldiae (Gouldian finch) lncRNA (ENSEGOG00005004031.1)". The record is from RNAcentral. Lineage: Eukaryota; Metazoa; Chordata; Aves; Passeriformes; Passeridae.
GGCGCGCGCGGGAGUCGGCGGCGCGGGCACGGCGCGCGCCCCCUCACGCCUCCCGCGUUCCUGCCCCCAGGGGCAUCCGUAACUGAGUUGUGCUUUAUGAACAAGGGGAGGGGCCUAACAAGACGUCUGAAAGGGUGAGUUAUUAUCGAACCAAGGGAGAAUUUCUAUCUUAAAAGCCACUACAAGAAAGGAAGAUUAUAAAAGGUACUGUGUUUUCUGCAGCUGAGUCUCUUGAGUGUCUUGUUACUAUUUCAUUAUGUGUGUUCUUAAAUCACUAUCCUU